RNAcentral lists this long non-coding RNA (922 nucleotides) under Homo sapiens (human). RNAcentral's name for it is "HSALNT0354717". Lineage: Eukaryota; Metazoa; Chordata; Mammalia; Primates; Hominidae. The record is from RNAcentral.
CAGACAAGUAAUAUAGUGAAUAGGGAACAUUUGCUUAGACCUGGGGUCCUGGGAGCCUGGCUGUCUUUGGAACAUCAUCAUAGGCAGUCAUUGUGACAGCCCUGGGUGGGAGGGACUGCUUUUUUCAUAUGAAGGACUGGGGCACAGAGUGACCCGCCCAAGAUCACACAGCUUCAGAUGGAGGCCCGUAGGCUACAGAGCCCAGCUCCCUGCCGCUGCGUAGCCUGAGAGUGAGGCCUUUGAAUGAUGCCCUGGACAGAGCUUGGAACAUGAAGGUGAAUACUGUUGUGGGGAGAAUGCAUCCCUUUGCCUGGCUCUGAGCCAGGGCCAGCUUUGGAUCCUGCUAGCCCCAUGGAUAUAGAGAGACUGGAUGGAGUCAGCUCUUCAUCCUUGCAAAGUCCACUCUGUCAACAUACAGGGAAAAAAAUUCUCAGGAAUACGAGCUCUGAGGAGCAUCCUAGCCAGGACUCACACCACUCAAGCAAGAGUCUAACUUCUUGCUAGAGUCCACUCAUCAUGGCUGUCAUGUCAGGUGUGGGGGCGUCAAGGAUGCUUGCUGGGCUUCUGGCUUGAGCAGCUGGGGCAGUGACAAUGUCAUUGAUUGAUAUCAAUGUCAAAGAUGUGGGAAGAAGAGAUGCAGGGUGCUGAGCUCCACUUUGGAUAGGCUGAGUUUGAUAUGCAGAUGGAGAGAUCCUCAAGAAAACUGGACAUAUGGGUUUAGAGCCCAGGAGAAGGCUCUCAGCUGCCGAUAGAGAUUUGGAAUCUGUUACUUCAGUGGUUAGAUGGGAAGCUCCAGAAAGGAAACUUUUCAGAAGGGAAACUUGCCUGAUGACAGUGAAUAGAACGAGAAGAAAUGAACCCUGCAUGUUGAAGAUGUACUCAGAGGUCAUGGACCUCAUCACAGAGACCCAGAAAAAUAAAC